CUCCUUAACGCAGACGUUAGACACCUGGGUUAAGUGUCUUGCUCCAGGGUCCAGUGUUUGAACCCAUAACUUUGGGGAUAGUGGAGCAGGAGGUCUAGAAUCUUAACCACUGCUCUAGGCUGCUGCCUGGGAGGGUUAAUGUUUGUAAUUUUGUGAAUCACCAAUAGUACACCCAGCACAGCUGCUAGGGCAACAUAGAACAAUCAAAACUAUUAAUUAAAAAACAAAUUGAGGACAGAGAGGCUGCGUGCCCUGCCACAUUCUCUGCCGAGGUGAAUCCUUCAAACUGCAGAAUGUAAUGGAUCACUGGUCUGAAAUGUCCUCUUGUAACCUGCAUCCUGAGAUCACAGGAUGUCCUACCAGCAUUGCUACAGUAUGAAGGAGGGUCAGAGUCUCAAGAGCAGUGUCCCCUGUAGAGCUGUGGGAAACCCUCCCCCUGACACCCAGUGGUUGAUAGAGGGGCAAGAGCUUGAGCCUGAUGAGCCCCUGAGCAAGGGAGAUACAGGACAUUUCACCUUUGAGGCUGUAAACAUAGAAGAGUGGUAAAGCAUGGGAGCAAUAUUGUAAACUGUAAGUCUGCGCUUAAAUUCUCAGGCACAGCAUUUGUAGUUUUCAGAUGUCCUCCAAAACAGUCAGGUUAGAAAGAGAAGUACUGCAGCAAUGAUCAUGCAUGCGUUGUAUUUAAAAUGCAUUUGCUUCAACGCUGUAAAAAGUGGAGCAUGUGGUGUGUGACACUCAUUUACUCAUCUUCUUUAUUGCACAUUAGUCCUCUGUGACUGACAAUUUCAGACUCCUAAGACAAAUAGUUUUCUGUUACUUUUCAUGCAGAACUUUGUUUUAUCAUUUCAGUAAAGGAAACAACCCUUGACUUAGGGUUAGAUGUUUUUCACAGCAGCAGAGUGGACUGUGUGCAUUGUAAAACAAAUGCAUUUUCCAGACAGAUAUACUUUUCUUCAACAUCAGAAAUGGUGUCCAUUACCAUUCCUGCUGGAAUUCUGGUUGUUUUUUCCAGACCAACCUGCGUUUCUACGGUCAGAAGAAACUACACAAACUGUCCCCGGUAACAUAACAGUGUUGGUCUGCAGUGCUGAUGGUAACCCACCCCCAAGAUACAACUGGACUUAUUCUACAGCUGAUAAUGUUGCGUUAAAGUACACAGACAGAGGGUCCACUGUCACCAUCAAUGGAACCUCUACCAGCAAUAUUGGGAUAUACACCUGCUUCGCUACGAAUGAGGUGGGAGAAGCUCAGAAGACAUUUAAGGUGGAAUUUACUCCAGGAGGAAACAUUGGGAAGAAAAUCGGCAUUAUAAUUGGAGUUGUGUUGGUGUUACUGCUCAUAGGUGUCAUCUAUAAAUUUGGGAAUGCGUCAUCCCUAGUAAACUGUAGGCAGUUCCACUGACACUGCACAGAGCAACCUAUGGAAGUGACCCCAGCAAUCGUUAAAAUGGCUUUGAAGAAAGACCGGGACCACUUCUGAGACAUCUGAGCUGAGGAGACUGGCCUGACUCCAUGUGCUGCCUAGUUUCCACCAGCUGACUCCAGCCUGUUGGCUGAAGCUCAGGAAGGGACUGCUGUUUGUCUACUGCAAGGGUCGAGCUAAACAUUUCACUCUUAUUAGAAGCACAGUGAUACAGGGCAAAGAACAGCAUUGGAACAUGAUCAGAACAAGAGUAUUGAAAAAUUAACUUCUUUUCCAGUUUAAAUGUACCUACUGUACACUACAACUCAAUAAAUGUGUGAAUAAAUAA
This is a non-coding RNA of Lepisosteus oculatus (spotted gar), 1750 nucleotides long. NCBI's taxonomy places the organism in Eukaryota, Metazoa, Chordata, Actinopteri, Semionotiformes, Lepisosteidae. The record is from RefSeq and is a predicted model, not a curated record.